CCGCUGGCUAGCGGGCAUACCGGGAAGAGGUGGGACCCAGGAGUCGAACCCGGCUAAGAUAGCCCCUCUAAUCCCAUAUCAGCUUAUCCUGAUCAAAAAGGUGCGCGGUACUGAUCUAGAAGACUAGGAUGUGGCAAGAGUGGUCCCCCUUUUUUCAAUUGGAAAGUCAGAAUUACUAUGCUAUCGCGGGAAGGGCCUUCAGCUCAGCAGAUAAGAUAUAGUGUUAUCGAUGCUGUCGUCUAAUUCUCGAACGGUUAGAAAUGACUAUCUGCUUCUGUUACAACUAAGUAAAAUCCUCCCUGAUUGAAAGACGAAAAAAAUUCAAAGAACUACGGGGUGCAACUUAUCACUUUGACUCGUAGCGGGCUUUAUCUCAUUUGAGACAGUUGAAGUGGAUUCUGCCAUUCGGACAACUAUCACAUGCCAAUCUCGGAAUCCCCCUUUGUAGCUCCGGUCUACGGCUCCUAAUCAACUACACAAGUUCGCCACCUAAUCAACUACACAAGUUCGCCAUUGAGAAAGUGGUCCGCGAUUGGAGUCCCCCUUUAAUCAUAUCAUUCUUCUAGAAGUAGCUUAGUGGUAGAGCGGUCGGCUGUUAACUGAUUGGUCGUAGGUUCAAUUCCUACUUGGGGAG
This 634-nucleotide long non-coding RNA is filed under the name Rosa chinensis. RNAcentral's name for it is "sRNA RchiOBHm_MTg0498151". The stretch from base 568 to 628 matches the Rfam family "tRNA", at positions 6 to 65 of the family's 71-position model. Lineage: Eukaryota; Viridiplantae; Streptophyta; Magnoliopsida; Rosales; Rosaceae. The record is from RNAcentral.